This 240-nucleotide ribosomal RNA is filed under the name Triticum aestivum (bread wheat). RNAcentral describes it as "partial small subunit ribosomal RNA". The record is from RNAcentral. Lineage: Eukaryota; Viridiplantae; Streptophyta; Magnoliopsida; Poales; Poaceae.
AUGCAUAAUUUUGUGAGUCUCCGAGAUGGUGAGACUUGGAUUACAAAAUGUUUUUAUUCUGAAUUUUAUUCUCAUAUUCUAUCAGAGGGGUUUGCGAUCAUUGUAGAAAUCUCAUUCUUGCUACGAGAAUUAUCUUGUCCGAAAGUGAAAGAAAUACCAAAGUUUCAAAAUUUAUGCUCUAUUCAUUCAGUAUGUCCCGGUUUAGAAGAAAUUCUUUUGCAUUUGAUUGGUUGCUCUUAG